CACUCUUCAACCUCACCAUCCCUUUUCAUUCUUCAUAUCCAUUCCCUAACCUCCAUACCCGCAUUACACUCAUCCUCACACAUUCUUGGUCCCUUCCCACAAUUUUUCAUCAUGCAUGCACCCAUCCUUCACCUAUCCCCACCACCUUUGCAUGGCCACGCAUGGCCACUUCUACUCACUUUUCCAUACCCACCUUGCCACCAUCUUCUAAUGCCCAUGCAUAUACCCUUUCAAUCUUCACAUGUCCCUCACCACCUUCUCUCUCUCUACACCACAUCGUAUACCCGUCUUCGUUCAUGACCACUACCCAUCCCCGCACCAUGCAAGGAUCACCCCGAAUCCUCUCCCAACUCCUCCAUUAAAGUCCCAUUCCCGUCAUGCCUAAGUCCCCAUAAAGGAUCGCUUCACGCUUGAGACACCAUGCC
Molecule: long non-coding RNA, 425 nt
Filed under: Vitis vinifera (wine grape)
Lineage: Eukaryota; Viridiplantae; Streptophyta; Magnoliopsida; Vitales; Vitaceae
Description: long non-coding RNA (VVIN_LNC003527)
Source: RNAcentral